GGCAGCGGUGGCUUAGUGGUUAAGGCUUUGGGUCAUUGAUUGGAAGGUCAGGGGUUCAAGUCCCAGCAAUGCCA
This is a non-coding RNA of Ameiurus melas (black bullhead), 74 nucleotides long. The record is from the annotation of a GenBank genome assembly. Lineage: Eukaryota; Metazoa; Chordata; Actinopteri; Siluriformes; Ictaluridae.